CAGUCGCCGCGGGAAUACAGAGGGUGCGAGCGUUAAUCGGAUUUACUGGGCGUAAAGCGUGCGUAGGCGGCUUUUUAAGUCGGAUGUGAAAUCCCUGAGCUUAACUUAGGAAUUGCAUUCGAUACUGGGAAGCUAGAGUAUGGGAGAGGAUGGUAGAAUUCCAGGUGUAGCGGUGAAAUGCGUAGAGAUCUGGAGGAAUACCAAUGGCGAAGGCAGCCAUCUGGCCUAAUACUGACGCUGAGGUACGAAAGCAUGGGGAGCAAACAGGAUUAGAUACCCCCGUAGUCCCUGUCUCUUAUAC
RNAcentral lists this ribosomal RNA (301 nucleotides) under uncultured bacterium. RNAcentral describes it as "partial 16S ribosomal RNA". It matches the Rfam family "Bacterial small subunit ribosomal RNA", at positions 509 to 807 of the family's 1533-position model. The record is from RNAcentral.